RNAcentral lists this ribosomal RNA (464 nucleotides) under uncultured bacterium. RNAcentral describes it as "partial 16S ribosomal RNA". It matches the Rfam family "Bacterial small subunit ribosomal RNA", at positions 28 to 506 of the family's 1533-position model. The record is from RNAcentral.
GACGAACGCUGGCGGCGUGCUUAACACAUGCAAGUCGUACGGUAAGGCCCUUUCGGGGGUACACGAGUGGCGAACGGGUGAGUAACACGUGCGUAACCUGCCCACAACUUUGGGAUAACGCUAGGAAACUGGUGCUAAUACUGGAUAUGUGCUCCUGCUGCAUGGUGGGGGUUGGAAAGCUCCGGCGGUUGUGGAUGGACUCGCGGCCUAUCAGCUUGUUGGUGGGGUAGUGGCCUACCAAGGCGGCGACGGGUAGCCGGCCUGAGAGGGUGACCGGCCACAUUGGGACUGAGAUACGGCCCAGACUCCUACGGGAGGCAGCAGUGGGGAAUAUUGCACAAUGGGCGCAAGCCUGAUGCAGCAACGCCGCGUGCGGGAUGACGGCCUUCGGGUUGUAAACCGCUUUCAGCAGGGACGAAGCUUUUUGUGACGGUACCUGCAGAAGAAGCACCGGCUAACUACGU